Molecule: long non-coding RNA, 251 nt
Filed under: Populus tremula
Lineage: Eukaryota; Viridiplantae; Streptophyta; Magnoliopsida; Malpighiales; Salicaceae
Description: long non-coding RNA (PTRE_LNC002933)
Source: RNAcentral
GAAAAGAGAAGCUUGUCAUAACUCUAGCACCCCUUAUUCUAUAUACAAUAGCAAGAGCUUCUUUAUAGGAUCAUGAUUUUCUUUGUCAAAUAAAACACAAUGUUCAUCAAAUUGAAAAGACAACAACCAACUAGAUGCAUAGCGAAAAGGUUUGAACCCACCACUGUUGUUUCUCAUUAUGCUUGUUGUCUAAAACAUUAGACCUGGCCAUCAACAACAGGUGAAACCAGGCUCUGAAUGUACACAUCUGC